Daucus carota subsp. sativus is the source of this 174-nucleotide non-coding RNA. The record is from Rfam. NCBI's taxonomy places the organism in Eukaryota, Viridiplantae, Streptophyta, Magnoliopsida, Apiales, Apiaceae.
AGCCGAAGGAGAGAGCUCCCUUCAGCCCAGUCAUGGAUGAAUUAGUUACUGCUGCUGCUGCGGCCGACUCAUUCAUUUAAGCACCUGGUAGACAUCGCGGUGGUUGAAUGAAUGAAGCGGGAGAUAGCUAGUUUUCCAGUGCUUGGACUGAAGGGAGCUCCCUUCUUUUGUUUC